UUCACUUUGCUUCGUGGCCUUGUAGGGCCCCAAGACUCCGCUGGAGGUGUUGAGUACCCACUGGCUUCUGGGAGCUGAUCAUGAUAAGCAAACAAAGCUCACACUGGCCAGAGAUGCGGCCAGUGGCUUUGAAAUAAUCCAGGCAUUCCAAGAAUGCACGGCCACAGUCUGCUCCAUCUGCAGAGCACACAGAGAAGAAAUGUGAAGAGGUGAGAUUACUUGAAUUCAUCAUGUGUUUCCUUACACCUGCCGUUGGUGUCAUCUUGGUACUACCCUUCAGUCAUUCCCUUCUUUGUGAAAAUAAAAAUAAUGAUUUCAAACAUUGGCAGUAUCUAGAAGCUCAGGAUCACGAUGUGGUGGAUGUUCCUGCGACGGGUGACCCAGAUGAAGGACACAGCGCUGGGACUGAAUCCUGUUCUGCUGGCUGGUGUGUGUG
Equus quagga is the source of this 436-nucleotide long non-coding RNA. RefSeq lists it as uncharacterized. Lineage: Eukaryota; Metazoa; Chordata; Mammalia; Perissodactyla; Equidae. The record is from RefSeq and is a predicted model, not a curated record. The transcript is spliced from 3 exons.